AACGAACGCUGGCGGCAGGCCUCAAACAUGCAAGUCUAGGGGGUGUAGCAAUACAUCACCGGCGGACGGGUGCGUAACGCGUGGGAAUAUACCUAUCGAUUCGGAACAACUGAGGGAAACUUCAGCUAAUACCGAAUACGUCCUAACGGAGAAAGAUUUAUCGUCGAUAGAUUAGCCCGCGUUCGAUUAGCUAGUUGGUGGGGUAACGGCCCACCAAGGCGACGAUCGAUAGCUGUUCUGAGAGGAAGAUCAGCCACACUGGGACUGAGACACGGCCCAGACUCCUACGGGAGGCAGCAGUUGGGAAUCUUGGACAAUGGGGGGAAACCCUGAUCCAGCCAUGCCGCGUGAGUGAUGAAGGCCUUCGGGUUGUAAACUCUUUCGCGCACGACGAUAAUGACGGUAGUGCGAGAAGAAGCUCGGCUAACUUCGUGCCAGCAGCCGCGGUAAU
RNAcentral lists this ribosomal RNA (451 nucleotides) under uncultured bacterium. Its description in RNAcentral is "bacterial SSU rRNA". It matches the Rfam family "Bacterial small subunit ribosomal RNA", at positions 29 to 524 of the family's 1533-position model. The record is from RNAcentral.